Molecule: unclassified non-coding RNA, 685 nt
Filed under: Hevea brasiliensis (rubber tree)
Lineage: Eukaryota; Viridiplantae; Streptophyta; Magnoliopsida; Malpighiales; Euphorbiaceae
Source: RNAcentral
UCUAGGUAUUAUUCUGCACAAGAGUCUGUUGAAUUGUUUCCUACCCUCGCACGAAAUGGUAAAGAUAAAACUCUGAAGGGAACUGUGGUAUAUUACGAUGGACAAAUGAAUGACUCACGCGUCAAUGUUGCAUUAGCAUGCUCUGCUGCUUUGGCUGGUGCAGCUGUGCUUAACCAUGCAGAAGUGGUAUCCCUUCUCAAAGAUGAGGGUGAUGGUAGAAUAAUUGGUGCACGUAUUCGGAAUAAUUUAUCAGGGAAGGAGUUUGAUGCAUAUGCAAAAGUUGUUGUUAACGCUGCCGGGCCUUCUUGUGAUUCUGUACGGACGUUAGCUGAUAAAGAUGCAAAACCCAUGAUUUGUCCCAGUAGUGGUGUACAUAUUAUACUUCCUGAUUAUUAUUCUCCAGACGGGAUGGGCUUGAUUGUCCCUAAAACUAAGGAUGGUCGAGUGGUCUUUAUGCUUCCAUGGUUGGGCAGAACAGUAGCUGGUACCACUGAUUCAAACACCAGCAUAACGAUGCUGCCAGAACCUCAUGAGAAUGAGAUCGAAUUCAUUUUGGAUGCCAUCUCUGAUUAUCUUAAUGUUAAGGUACGACGUACUGAUGUUCUAUCUGCUUGGAGUGGUAUCCGCCCUCUAGCAAUUGACCCCAAGGCAAGUAGUACGGCGAGCAUCUCCAGAGAUCAUGUUG